AGAGAGUUCUUCAUAAGUAUGCGGCGGUUGCUGCGACCCUCGAUUCGCAAAUCUCGGAUCGGGGGCGUGACAAGAAGUGACCAAUAGAACCAUCCUCCAGGGCCUGAAAUGGAGAUUGGGUAGAGUAAAAGGAGCAUGGGUCGACGAGCUUUAUCAUAUGCUGUAGGCCAUAUCGGACAACAUCAAGGGUACCAAUGGGGGAAAACCCUUUUAGCCUCUCUUUCAAAAUUGAAGUGGUAGUCCCUAU
This 247-nucleotide long non-coding RNA is filed under the name Elaeis guineensis (African oil palm). Its description in RNAcentral is "long non-coding RNA (EGUI_LNC007375)". Lineage: Eukaryota; Viridiplantae; Streptophyta; Magnoliopsida; Arecales; Arecaceae. The record is from RNAcentral.